This 916-nucleotide ribosomal RNA is filed under the name uncultured bacterium. RNAcentral describes it as "bacterial SSU rRNA". It matches the Rfam family "Bacterial small subunit ribosomal RNA", at positions 246 to 1155 of the family's 1533-position model. The record is from RNAcentral.
UUGUUGGUAAGGUAAAAGCUUACCAAGGCUUCGAUCAGUAGCUGGUCUGAGAGGACGACCAGCCACACUGGGACUGAGACACGGCCCAGACUCCUACGGGAGGCAGCAGUGGGGAAUUUUGGACAAUGGGGGCAACCCUGAUCCAGCCAUGCCGCGUGAGUGAAGAAGGCCUUCGGGUUGUAAAGCUCUUUCAGCCGGAACGAAACGGUUACGGAUAACACCCGUGACUACUGACGGUACCGGAAGAAGAAGCACCGGCUAACUACGUGCCAGCAGCCGCGGUAAUACGUAGGGUGCGAGCGUUAAUCGGAAUUACUGGGCGUAAAGCGUGCGCAGGUGGUUUUGUAAGUCAGAUGUGAAAGCCCCGGGCUCAACCUGGGAACUGCGUUUGAAACUACAAGACUAGAGUGUGGCAGAGGGGGGUGGAAUUCCGCGUGUAGCAGUGAAAUGCGUAGAGAUGUGGAGGAACACCGAUGGCGAAGGCAGCCCCCUGGGUCAACACUGACGCUCAGGCACGAAAGCAUGGGGAGCAAACAGGAUUAGAUACCCUGGUAGUCCAUGCCCUAAACGAUGUCAACUAGUUGUCGGGCCUUUACGGGCUUGGUAACGUAGCUAACGCGUGAAGUUGACCGCCUGGGGAGUACGAUCGCAAGAUUAAAACUCAAAUGAAUUGACGGGGACCCGCACAAGCGGUGGAUUAUGUGGAUUAAUUCGAUGCAACGCGAAAAACCUUACCUACCCUUGACAUGUAUCGAAGCCCGCAGAAAAGCGGGGGUGCCCGAGAGGGAACGAUAACACAGGUGCUGCAUGGCUGUCGUCAGCUCGUGUCGUGAGAUGUUGGGUUAAGUCCCGCAACGAGCGCAACCCUUGUCAUUAAUUGCCAUCAUUUAGUUGGGCACUUUAAUGAGACUGCCGG